AAGAGUACUUAGCAGGGAAUAUACCAUGAUCAUGAAGGUGGUUUCCCCCAGGGCGAGGCUUAUCCAUUGCACUCUGGAUGUGCUGACCCCUGCGAUUUCCCCAAAAGUGGGGAACUCGACUGCAUAAUUUGUGGUAGUGGGGGACUACGUUCAUGCUUCCCCCUG
Small nuclear RNA from Panthera leo (lion), 165 nucleotides. Its record names the gene U1. It matches the Rfam family "U1 spliceosomal RNA". Rfam says of the family: U1 is a small nuclear RNA (snRNA) component of the spliceosome (involved in pre-mRNA splicing). Its 5' end forms complementary base pairs with the 5' splice junction, thus defining the 5' donor site of an intron. NCBI's taxonomy places the organism in Eukaryota, Metazoa, Chordata, Mammalia, Carnivora, Felidae. The record is from Ensembl.